UACGAAGGGGGCUAGCGUUGUUCGGAAUUACUGGGCGUAAAGCGUGCGCAGGCGGCUUCUCAAGUCAGGGGUGAAAGCCCAGAGCUCAACUCUGGAAUUGCCUUUGAGACUGAGUGGCUUGAGUACGAGAGAGGUGAGUGGAAUUCCCAGUGUAGAGGUGAAAUACAUAGAGAUGUCAUAGAACACCGAUUGCGAAGGCAGCUGACGAAACUAUAACUGACACUGAGGCUCGAAAGUGUGGGGAUCAAACAGG
Molecule: ribosomal RNA, 253 nt
Filed under: uncultured bacterium
Lineage: Bacteria
Description: partial 16S ribosomal RNA
Rfam family: Bacterial small subunit ribosomal RNA
Source: RNAcentral